UACGUGGGGGGCAAGCGUUGUCCGGAUUUAUUGGGCGUAAAGAGCGUGUAGGCGGCCAGGUAGGUCCGUUGUGAAAACUCGAGGCUCAACCUCGAGACGCCGAUGGAAACCAUCUGGCUAGAGUCCGGAAGAGGAGAGUGGAAUUCCCGGUGUAGCGGUGAAAUGCGCAGAUAUCGGGAAGAACACCCGUGGCUAAGGCGGCUCUCUAGUACGGUACUGACGCUGAGACGCGAAAGCGUGGGGAGCGAACAGG
Molecule: ribosomal RNA, 253 nt
Filed under: uncultured bacterium
Lineage: Bacteria
Description: partial 16S ribosomal RNA
Rfam family: Bacterial small subunit ribosomal RNA
Source: RNAcentral